GAAAAUUCAUGGGGAAGAGGAAAGUACUUUAUACCAAGUUCAGCAGGUUUUGUGGCUGGUGAUUAAUCCCUUUGUGAAAAAUGGCAAUUUUAACACUGACAUGAGUAAUCACACCUUUUCUUUCCACCGCAGUUUAGCAUUUCCUGCUGUAAUAAUUCAGGCCUAAUACUUCAUUCAAGGAAGCAGAAGUGUCAGCAGGCUAUUCGUUUUCUCCUCAUUGACCCAUUUGUGUCUUCAUACUCUCAGUCUGAAGCUGCCACAUUGUGGGAGCACAUUCGUGAUUCAUGCUGGACAUCCACUGAAAUUCUGAAAGGGCAUUGCCAAGAAGGACCUCCUUCAAAGGACAAUUCCUCAACGUGGUGACAACUCAAUGACCCAGCAACUUGGUCAUGAUCUCUUGAGCUGGGAAGUCCCCCGAUCAUAGAUUUUCAAGGCCGCUGUCUAUGGAAAGGUUGGAAGAAAGAAGAAGUCCAGGGUCCAGGCUCAAGUCUCUGGGGUUCUCAUCCUAGUUCUGUUGUCUAAUUUUGCUAAACUUUUUGACCUCCCUGGGCUUGUGUUUUCUCAUCUGUGCUAAGAGAAGGCCAGAUGGGGGCUGGAUCAGGAAAGGCAGUUUCAGCUUUAGAAUGUUAUGGUGCUGCUCGGUGUGACUCUUGGGGUUUUAAGUUAUGUUUGAGAGUUCUUUGAACUCUUUCCCACCUCGACUCUCUGGAGGACUUGGACAGUAGCAGUGGGAGUCUCAGUUCAUGCCCACAGUACAAUUCUGGUUUGCCAUGGUGCUCAAGGGAGGUGGAGAGAAGGGUUCUGCUGUGCUUUGAUCUCUUGACCUGUAUUCCAAGCCUUUCUCUUGUUCCCUCAGGGAAUCUUCAGGCUCUCAAACCAGCUUCCCCUCUGCCGAGCUGCCAACGCAUGCUCCCUGAUGGAGGCCUCUUAACCAGCCCACUAGCACCGUCUCCUUCCCACUGAGGUUUCUGACUCACAGCUGCAGCAACGGCUGGCACCGUCAGAACACAUCUUGCAAAUUGCACUGGGGGCUGCCUCUCUGGUUUGCCCCCCUGGAUACCAGAUCCAAGACGACAGCCAGAACUGAGGUCUUCACAGGUGCUCCUCCUAGUUCCAGGAAGGUAACUCAGAAAUCAUCACCCUUUGCCUUUUCCCACAGCACCGUUAAACAGGGACGAGCAAGAAAUGGCCAAGUUUGACUGGAGCCAGCCCAGGACAGAGAAAUGUUCCUAUUGGCCACUCAUCCCUGACAGCGCGGUCAGUGUCCCAUGAAUGUCACGUGGGCCUCUCUCCAGACCUGGGGAUGAGCUGAGCUGCUGACAAGUGAAAAUGUUAUGGAACAAAAUGGCCGACACACUGAGAUUUAUCUGUUGACACACGGACAGGGAACACCCUGGGGAGGCCGAAGAAAGAGUUCUGUCUGCUGAACUGUGCCCACAGCCGCCUUCAGCCCAACAGCACCAGCUGCCAACACGCUGUGUCUCUGAUUCCUUUUCCCUUUCUGCAGUUUUUGCAACCCCAUAAUUGCCUUGGUAGAACUUAGAUGUUCUGACUGAAAUGGUCUUCCCAAUAAUUCUAGUCUCUUUUAGUGAGAAAUACUAUACAAAAAUUUGGGCUUCCCUGGUGGCUCAGUUGGU
Bos indicus x Bos taurus (hybrid cattle) is the source of this 1637-nucleotide long non-coding RNA. The record is from Ensembl. NCBI's taxonomy places the organism in Eukaryota, Metazoa, Chordata, Mammalia, Artiodactyla, Bovidae.